UACAGAGGAGCCAAGCGUUGUCCGGAUUGACUGGGCGUAAAGCGCACGCAGGCGGUUGGGCGCGUGGGGUGUGAAAUCUGGCCGCUUAACGGCCAGGCGCCAUCCCAUACGGCACAACUGGAGGGAUGCAGAGGUCGGUGGAAUUGCCGGUGUAGUGGUGAAAUGCGUAGAGAUCGGCAGGAACACCCAGAGGGAAACCAGCCGACUGGGCAUCUACUGACGCUAAUGUGCGAGAGCGUGGGGAGCGAACCGG
Molecule: ribosomal RNA, 253 nt
Filed under: uncultured bacterium
Lineage: Bacteria
Description: partial 16S ribosomal RNA
Rfam family: Bacterial small subunit ribosomal RNA
Source: RNAcentral